Molecule: non-coding RNA, 28 nt
Filed under: Drosophila melanogaster (fruit fly)
Lineage: Eukaryota; Metazoa; Arthropoda; Insecta; Diptera; Drosophilidae
Source: RNAcentral
UGCUUCUCGUCGAGGAAAAUUCCCGAGC